RNAcentral lists this ribosomal RNA (253 nucleotides) under uncultured bacterium. Its description in RNAcentral is "partial 16S ribosomal RNA". It matches the Rfam family "Bacterial small subunit ribosomal RNA", at positions 524 to 776 of the family's 1533-position model. The record is from RNAcentral.
UACGUAGGGUGCAAGCGUUAUCCGGAAUUAUUGGGCGUAAAGAGCUCGUAGGCGGUUUGUCACGUCUGCUGUGAAAACUGGAGGCUCAACCUCCAGCCUGCAGUGGGUACGGGCAGACUAGAGUGCGGUAGGGGAGAUUGGAAUUCCUGGUGUAGCGGUGAAAUGCGCAGAUAUCAGGAGGAACACCAGCGGCGAAGGCGCUGCUCUGGGCCGGUACUGACGCUGAGGAGCGAAAGCGUGGGGAGCGAACAGG